This 467-nucleotide ribosomal RNA is filed under the name uncultured bacterium. RNAcentral describes it as "partial 16S ribosomal RNA". It matches the Rfam family "Bacterial small subunit ribosomal RNA", at positions 28 to 506 of the family's 1533-position model. The record is from RNAcentral.
GACGAACGCUGGCGGCGUGCUUAACACAUGCAGGUCGAACGGAAAGGCCCUGCUUUUGUGGGGUGCUCGAGUGGCGAACGGGUGAGUAACACGUGAGUAACCUGCCCUUGACUUUGGGAUAACUUCAGGAAACUGGGGCUAAUACCGGAUAGGAGCUCCUGCUGCAUGGUGGGGGUUGGAAAGUUUCGGCGGUUGGGGAUGGACUCGCGGCUUAUCAGCUUGUUGGUGGGGUAGUGGCUUACCAAGGCUUUGACGGGUAGCCGGCCUGAGAGGGUGACCGGCCACAUUGGGACUGAGAUACGGCCCAGACUCCUACGGGAGGCAGCAGUGGGGAAUAUUGCACAAUGGGCGGAAGCCUGAUGCAGCAACGCCGCGUGCGGGAUGACGGCCUUCGGGUUGUAAACCGCUUUCGACUGUGACGAAGCGUGAGUGACGGUAAUGGGUAAAGAAGCACCGGCUAACUACGG